This 1357-nucleotide ribosomal RNA is filed under the name uncultured bacterium. Its description in RNAcentral is "bacterial SSU rRNA". It matches the Rfam family "Bacterial small subunit ribosomal RNA", at positions 28 to 1381 of the family's 1533-position model. The record is from RNAcentral.
AUUGAACGCUGGCGGCAGGCUUAACACAUGCAAGUCGAACGAUGAUUAUCUAGCUUGCUAGAUAUGAUUAGUGGCGGACGGGUGAGUAACAUUUAGGAAUCUGCCUAGUAGUGGGGGAUAGCUCGGGGAAACUCGAAUUAAUACCGCAUACGACCUACGGGUGAAAGGGGGCGCAAGCUCUUGCUAUUAGAUGAGCCUAAAUCAGAUUAGCUAGUUGGUGGGGUAAAGGCCCACCAAGGCGACGAUCUGUAACUGGUCUGAGAGGAUGAUCAGUCACACCGGAACUGAGACACGGUCCGGACUCCUACGGGAGGCAGCAGUGGGGAAUAUUGGACAAUGGGGGCAACCCUGAUCCAGCCAUGCCGCGUGUGUGAAGAAGGCCUUUUGGUUGUAAAGCACUUUAAGCAGGGAGGAGAGGCUAAUGGUUAAUACCCAUUAGAUUAGACGUUACCUGCAGAAUAAGCACCGGCUAACUCUGUGCCAGCAGCCCGCGGUAAUACAGAGGGUGCGAGCGUUAAUCGGAAUUACUGGGGCGUAAAGCGAGUGUAAGUGGCUCAUUAAGUCACAUGUGAAAUCCCCGGGGCUUACCUGGGAACUGCAUGUGAUACUGGUGGUGCUAGAAUAUGUGAGAGGGAAGUAGAAUUCCAGGUGUAGCGGUGAAAUGCGUAGAGAUCUGGAGGAAUACCGAUGGCGAAGGCAGCUUCCUGGCAUAAUAUUGACACUGAGAUUCGAAAGCGUGGGUAGCAAACAGGAUUAGAUACCCUGGUAGUCCACGCCGUAAACGAUGUCUACUAGCCGUUGGGGUCCUUGAGACUUUAGUGGCGCAGUUAACGCGAUAAGUAGACCGCCUGGGGAGUACGGCCGCAAGGUUAAAACUCAAAUGAAUUGACGGGGGCCCGCACAAGCGGUGGAGCAUGUGGUUUAAUUCGAUGCAACGCGAAGAACCUUACCUGGUCUUGACAUAGUGAGAAUCCUGCAGAGAUACGGGAGUGCCUUCGGGAAUUCACAUACAGGUGCUGCAUGGCUGUCGUCAGCUCGUGUCGUGAGAUGUUGGGUUAAGUCCCGCAACGAGCGCAACCCUUUUCCUUAUUUGCCAGCGGGUUAAGCCGGGAACUUUAAGGAUACUGCCAGUGACAAACUGGAGGAAGGCGGGGACGACGUCAAGUCAUCAUGGCCCUUACGACCAGGGCUACACACGUGCUACAAUGGUAGGUACAGAGGGUUGCUACACAGCGAUGUGAUGCUAAUCUCAAAAUGCCUAUCGUAGUCCGGAUUGGAGUCUGCAACUCGACUCCAUGAAGUCGGAAUCGCUAGUAAUCGCAGAUCAGAAUGCUGCGGUGAAUACGUUCCCGGGCCU